RNAcentral lists this ribosomal RNA (493 nucleotides) under uncultured bacterium. RNAcentral describes it as "partial 16S ribosomal RNA". It matches the Rfam family "Bacterial small subunit ribosomal RNA", at positions 30 to 523 of the family's 1533-position model. The record is from RNAcentral.
AUUGAACACUGGCGGCAUGCUUUACACAUGCAAGUCGAACGGUAACAGGUUAAGCUGACGAGUGGCGAACGGGUGGGUAAUGCAUCGGAACGUGCCCGAUCGUGGGGGAUAACGCAGCGAAAGCUGCGCUAAUACCGCAUACGAUCUGAGGAUGAAAGCGGGGGACCGUAAGGCCUCGCGCGAUCGGAGCGGCCGAUGUCAGAUUAGGUAGUUGGUGGGGUAAAGGCCCACCAAGCCGACGAUCUGUAGCUGGUCUGAGAGGACGACCAGCCACACUGGGACUGAGACACGGCCCAGACUCCUACGGGAGGCAGCAGUGGGGAAUUUUGGACAAUGGGCGAAAGCCUGAUCCAGCAAUGCCGCGUGCAGGAAGAAGGCCUUCGGGUUGUAAACUGCUUUUGUACGGAGCGAAAAGGUCCUUUCUAAUACAAGGGGCUCAUGACGGUACCGUAAGAAUAAGCACCGGCUAACUACGUGCCAGCCGCCGCAGUAA